UGACAUCCCCGUGACCGGUGAGUAAUGUCACCUUUCCUUCGGGACAGGGGAGACAGGUGGUGCAUGGUUGUCGUCAGCUCGUGUCGUGAGAUGUUGGGUUAAGUCCCGCAACGAGCGCAACCCUUAUCYUUAGUAGCCGCAUUACGGAUGGGCACUCUAGRGAGACUGCCAGGGACAACCUGGAGGAAGGUGGGGAUGACGUCAAAUCAUCAUGCCCCUUAUGACCAGGGCUACACACGUGCUACAAUGGCGUAAACAAAGGGAAGCGAAGSAGUGAUCCGGAGCAAAUCUCAAAAAUAACGUCUCAGUUCGGAUUGUAGUCUGCAACUCGACUACAUGAAGCUGGAAUCGCUAGUAAUCGCGAAUCAGCAUGUCGCGGGAAUACGUUCCCGGGUCUUGUACACACCG
RNAcentral lists this ribosomal RNA (408 nucleotides) under uncultured bacterium. Its description in RNAcentral is "bacterial SSU rRNA". It matches the Rfam family "Bacterial small subunit ribosomal RNA", at positions 982 to 1392 of the family's 1533-position model. The record is from RNAcentral.